GCGGGAAGAGCUCAAAUUUAUAAUCUGGCACCUUCGGUGUCCGAGUUGUAAUCUCUAGAAAUGUUUUCCGCGUUGGACCGCACACAAGUCUGUUGGAAUACAGCGGCAUAGUGGUGAGACCCCCGUAUAUGGUGCGGACGCCCAGCGCUUUGUGAUACAUUUUCGAAGAGUCGAGUUGUUUGGGAAUGCAGCUCAAAUUGGGUGGUAAAUUCCAUCUAAAGCUAAAUAUUGGCGAGAGACCGAUAGCGAACAAGUACCGUGAGGGAAAGAUGAAAAGCACUUUGGAAAGAGAGUUAACAGUACGUGAAAUUGUUGGAAGGGAAACGCUUGAAGUCAGACUUGCUUGCCGAGCAAUCGGUUUGCAGGCCAGCAUCAGUUUUCCGGGAUGGAUAAUGGUAGAGAGAAGGUAGCAGUUUCGGCUGUGUUAUAGCUCUCUGCUGGAUACAUCUUGGGGGACUGAGGAACGCAGUGUGCCUUUGGCGGGGGUUUCGACCUCUUCACACUUAGGAUGCUGGUGGAAUGGCUUUAAACGACCCGUCUUG
Molecule: ribosomal RNA, 542 nt
Filed under: Rhodotorula mucilaginosa
Lineage: Eukaryota; Fungi; Basidiomycota; Microbotryomycetes; Sporidiobolales; Sporidiobolaceae
Description: LSU rRNA
Rfam family: Eukaryotic large subunit ribosomal RNA
Source: RNAcentral